RNAcentral lists this non-coding RNA (167 nucleotides) under Glycine max (soybean). RNAcentral describes it as "Bacterial small subunit ribosomal RNA". It matches the Rfam family "Bacterial small subunit ribosomal RNA", at positions 1239 to 1374 of the family's 1533-position model. The record is from Rfam by way of RNAcentral. Lineage: Eukaryota; Viridiplantae; Streptophyta; Magnoliopsida; Fabales; Fabaceae.
ACUUUGGUUGAAAAUGUAAAAAUAAUUUCAGAUGAAAAUAUAAAAAUCCUUAUAAUGAGCUAACUCCAAAAACUCGUCUUCAGUUUGAAUUGUAGGCUGUAACUUACCUGCAUGAAGCCGGAAUCGUUAGUAAUCGCCGGUCAGUCAUACGGCGGUGAAUUCGUUCC